RNAcentral lists this long non-coding RNA (446 nucleotides) under Erythranthe guttata (spotted monkey flower). RNAcentral describes it as "long non-coding RNA (EGUT_LNC002140)". Lineage: Eukaryota; Viridiplantae; Streptophyta; Magnoliopsida; Lamiales; Phrymaceae. The record is from RNAcentral.
UGCAAAGAAGUGGAUUACGCGGAGGUGGAGGUGGGGCUGGUGGGGUUGGGCAAAGUAAUGGGAGAGGUAAUAUCGUGCAAAUAAGUGAACGCGGAGGGGGAGGUGGCGACGUUGGUGGAGGAGGAAGGGUUGGGGGUGGGGGAGGUGAAGGCGGGGGAGGGGAAGGUGGUGGAGGUGAUGGUGGAGGUGGAGGUGGUGAUGGUGGUGGCGGAGACCUAGGUGGUGGUGGAGGAGAUGGGCAAAAUAUUGGUAUGCCAAAUAUGGGAAGUCGUAUGCAUGGCAGAAGUUGAGCAUUGAUAGUUGUAACCAACAUAGGCAAGAGCGCUAUUAGAACCCAUACUUUGAGUUCCAUAUUGAUUACAGCUAACAAGAAAACUAAAGAUCCACGAUGUGUUUGUUGUAAAAAAGAGAUGAGUUUUUUUCAUAUAUAUAGGCAUCAAUUUGUG